RNAcentral lists this ribosomal RNA (538 nucleotides) under uncultured bacterium. Its description in RNAcentral is "bacterial SSU rRNA". It matches the Rfam family "Bacterial small subunit ribosomal RNA", at positions 971 to 1509 of the family's 1533-position model. The record is from RNAcentral.
UUACCUACCCUUGACAUCCAGAGGAUUUUCCAGAGAUGGAUUAGUGCCUUCGGGAACUCUGAGACAGGUGCUGCAUGGCUGUCGUCAGCUCGUGUUGUGAAAUGUUGGGUUAAGUCCCGUAACGAGCGCAACCCCUAUCCUUAUUUGCCAGCGAUUCGGUCGGGAACUCUAAGGAGACUGCCGGUGACAAACCGGAGGAAGGUGGGGAUGACGUCAAGUCAUCAUGGCCCUUACGGGUAGGGCUACACACGUGCUACAAUGGGGAGUACAGAGGGACGCAAAGCGGCGACGUGAAGCCAAUCCCAAAAAGCUCUCCUCAGUCCGGAUUGGAGUCUGCAACUCGACUCCAUGAAGUCGGAGUCGCUAGUAAUCGCGAAUCAGAAUGUCGCGGUGAAUACGUUCCCGGGCCUUGUACACACCGCCCGUCACACCAUGGGAGUGGAUUGCACCAGAAGUGGCUAGUUUAACCUUCGGGGGAACGGUUACCACGGUGUGGUUCAUGACUGGGGUGAAGUCGUAACAAGGUAGGCGUAGCGAG